MicroRNA precursor from Homo sapiens (human), 86 nucleotides. The record is from Ensembl. Lineage: Eukaryota; Metazoa; Chordata; Mammalia; Primates; Hominidae.
GGGGCUGGGGGUGUGGGGAGAGAGAGUGCACAGCCAGCUCAGGGAUUAAAGCUCUUUCUCUCUCUCUCUCUCCCACUUCCCUGCAG